RNAcentral lists this ribosomal RNA (532 nucleotides) under Enterobacter cloacae. Its description in RNAcentral is "bacterial SSU rRNA". It matches the Rfam family "Bacterial small subunit ribosomal RNA", at positions 1011 to 1533 of the family's 1533-position model. The record is from RNAcentral. RNAcentral also lists the same sequence under 1 other name. Lineage: Bacteria; Pseudomonadati; Pseudomonadota; Gammaproteobacteria; Enterobacterales; Enterobacteriaceae.
UUGGUGCCUUCGGGAACUGUGAGACAGGUGCUGCAUGGCUGUCGUCAGCUCGUGUUGUGAAAUGUUGGGUUAAGUCCCGCAACGAGCGCAACCCUUAUCCUUUGUUGCCAGCGGUUAGGCCGGGAACUCAAAGGAGACUGCCAGUGAUAAACUGGAGGAAGGUGGGGAUGACGUCAAGUCAUCAUGGCCCUUACGACCAGGGCUACACACGUGCUACAAUGGCGCAUACAAAGAGAAGCGACCUCGCGAGAGCAAGCGGACCUCAUAAAGUGCGUCGUAGUCCGGAUUGGAGUCUGCAACUCGACUCCAUGAAGUCGGAAUCGCUAGUAAUCGUAGAUCAGAAUGCUACGGUGAAUACGUUCCCGGGCCUUGUACACACCGCCCGUCACACCAUGGGAGUGGGUUGCAAAAGAAGUAGGUAGCUUAACCUUCGGGAGGGCGCUUACCACUUUGUGAUUCAUGACUGGGGUGAAGUCGUAACAAGGUAACCGUAGGGGAACCUGCGGUUGGAUCACCUCCUUACCUUAAAGAA